Molecule: long non-coding RNA, 319 nt
Filed under: Numida meleagris (helmeted guineafowl)
Lineage: Eukaryota; Metazoa; Chordata; Aves; Galliformes; Numididae
Description: lncRNA (ENSNMEG00000022234.1)
Source: RNAcentral
CUUACCUGGAUGGGGAUUGUGCUCCUUUUUGGCUAUCACCAGUCACUGGAAGGGGGUAAGCAAAUUACCUUGCAGUGAGAAAGCUUUCAUCUUGACCUGUUAGUCCCUGGAAUCACCCUAGAUGGAUAUAUGAAUCCAGUUCUACCCUUAGAUCAUGAAUUGAUCAGCCAAAGGCACAUGAGUUGGUACAAAGGCAUCGCUUUGAGAAAUUCUCAGAGCAAUGCUGUAAAACUGGUAAGGUGAUAACACCUAUCUGAAAAAUGGAAAACCAGAGGCAGACACUGAGUAAAUAGCCAAAGACAACCAAACAGAAACAAGC